Molecule: ribosomal RNA, 425 nt
Filed under: uncultured bacterium
Lineage: Bacteria
Description: partial 16S ribosomal RNA
Rfam family: Bacterial small subunit ribosomal RNA
Source: RNAcentral
GUGGGGAAUAUUGGACAAUGGGCGAAAGCCUGAUCCAGCAAUGCCGCGUGAGUGAAGAAGGCCUUCGGGUUGUAAAGCUCUUUUACCCGGGAAGAUAAUGACUGUACCGGGAGAAUAAGCCCCGGCUAACUCCGUGCCAGCAGCCGCGGUAAUACGGAGGGGGCUAGCGUUGUUCGGAAUUACUGGGCGUAAAGCGCACGUAGGCGGUCUUUUAAGUCAGAGGUGAAAGCCCGGGGCUCAACUCCGGAAUUGCCUUUGAAACUGGGAGACUUGAACACGGGAGAGGUGAGUGGAAUUCCGAGUGUAGAGGUGAAAGUCGUAGAUAUUCGGAGGAACACCAGUGGCGAAGGCGGCUCACUGGACCGUUGUUGACGCUGAGGUGCGAAAGCGUGGGGAGCAAACAGGAUUAGAAACCCCGGUAGUCC